RNAcentral lists this ribosomal RNA (267 nucleotides) under uncultured Lysobacterales bacterium. Its description in RNAcentral is "uncultured Xanthomonadales bacterium partial 16S ribosomal RNA". It matches the Rfam family "Bacterial small subunit ribosomal RNA", at positions 529 to 795 of the family's 1533-position model. Lineage: Bacteria; Pseudomonadati; Pseudomonadota; Gammaproteobacteria; Lysobacterales. The record is from RNAcentral.
AGGGUGCAAGCGUUACUCGGAAUUACUGGGCGUAAAGCGUGCGUAGGUGGUUCGUUAAGUCUGAUGUGAAAGCCCUGGGCUCAACCUGGGAACUGCAUUGGAUACUGGCGAUCUGGAGUGCGGUAGAGGGUAGCGGAAUUCCCGGUGUAGCAGUGAAAUGCGUAGAUAUCGGGAGGAACAUCCGUGGCGAAGGCGGCUACCUGGACCAGCACUGACACUGAGGCACGAAAGCGUGGGGAGCAAACAGGAUUAGAUACCCUGGUAGUC